GGAGGAAAAGAAACCAACAGGGAUUGCCUUAGUAGCGGCGAGUGAAGCGGCAAAAGCUCAAAUUUGAAAUCUGGCACUUUCAGUGUCCGAGUUGUAAUUUGAAGAAGGUAUCUUUGGGUCUGGCUCUUGUCUAUGUUUCUUGGAACAGAACGUCACAGAGGGUGAGAAUCCCGUGCGAUGAGAUGUCCCAGACCUAUGUAAAGUUCCUUCGAAGAGUCGAGUUGUUUGGGAAUGCAGCUCUAAGUGGGUGGUAAAUUCCAUCUAAAGCUAAAUAUUGGCGAGAGACCGAUAGCGAACAAGUACAGUGAUGGAAAGAUGAAAAGAACUUUGAAAAGAGAGUGAAAAAGUACGUGAAAUUGUUGAAAGGGAAGGGCUUGAGAUCAGACUUGGUAUUUUGUAUGUUACUCUCUCGGGGGUGGCCUCUACAGUUUACCGGGCCAGCAUCAGUUUGAGCGGUAGGAUAAGUGCAAAGAAAUGUGGCACUGCUUCGGUAGUGUGUUAUAGUCUUUGUCGAUACUGCCAGCUUAGACUGAGGACUGCGGCUUCGGCCUAGGAUGUUGGCAUAAUGAUCUUAAGUCGCCCGUCUUG
This 588-nucleotide ribosomal RNA is filed under the name Lodderomyces parapsilosis. RNAcentral describes it as "eukaryotic LSU rRNA". It matches the Rfam family "Eukaryotic large subunit ribosomal RNA", at positions 52 to 656 of the family's 3401-position model. The record is from RNAcentral. Lineage: Eukaryota; Fungi; Ascomycota; Pichiomycetes; Serinales; Debaryomycetaceae.